CCGGCACGGGUGAGUAACACGUAUCCAACCUGCCGUCUACUCUUGGACAGCCUUCUGAAAGGAAGAUUAAUACAAGAUGGCAUCAUGAGUCCGCAUGUUCACAUGAUUAAAGGUAUUCCGGUAGACGAUGGGGAUGCGUUCCAUUAGAUAGUAGGCGGGGUAACGGCCCACCUAGUCUUCGAUGGAUAGGGGUUCUGAGAGGAAGGUCCCCCACAUUGGAACUGAGACACGGACCAA
RNAcentral lists this ribosomal RNA (237 nucleotides) under uncultured bacterium. RNAcentral describes it as "partial 16S ribosomal RNA". It matches the Rfam family "Bacterial small subunit ribosomal RNA", at positions 100 to 334 of the family's 1533-position model. The record is from RNAcentral.